Molecule: ribosomal RNA, 440 nt
Filed under: uncultured bacterium
Lineage: Bacteria
Description: bacterial SSU rRNA
Rfam family: Bacterial small subunit ribosomal RNA
Source: RNAcentral
AAUCAACGCUGGCGGCGUGCCUAACACAUGCAAGUCGAACGCGAAAGCCCGCAAGGGUAAGUAGAGUGGCGCACGGGUGAGUAACACGUGGACAACCUGCCUUCGAGUGGGGAAUAACCUUCCGAAAGGAGGGCUAAUACCGCAUAACACCUCGGGACACAAGUUCUGGGGUUGAAAAGAGCAAUUUGCUCGAAGAGGGGUCCGCGCCUGAUUAGCUAGUUGGUGAGGUAACGGCUCACCAAGGCUUCGAUCAGUAGCCGUCCUGAGAGGGAGCACGGCCACACUGGAACUGAGACACGGUCCAGACUCCUACGGGAGGCAGCAGUGGGGAAUUUUUGGCAAUGGGCGAAAGCCUGACCAAGCAACGCCGCGUGGGUGAUGAAGUAUCUUGGUACGUAAAACCCUUUCGGCAGGGACGAACCUAAUGACGGUACCUGCGG